RNAcentral lists this long non-coding RNA (1034 nucleotides) under Numida meleagris (helmeted guineafowl). RNAcentral's name for it is "lncRNA (ENSNMEG00000022916.1)". Lineage: Eukaryota; Metazoa; Chordata; Aves; Galliformes; Numididae. The record is from RNAcentral.
AUGGACUGUAGACCUCUGCUCCAGGUAACUGGUUUCCUAUAUCUAUUUUUCAAAUGCGUGCCGUGGCUUGUAAACCUAGCCCUGUUUUGUUUUUAUUUUAGUUGUUGCUUUUAUAUGAUAUUGGUUUGUUUUAUUUUCUAUGUAGAAAGCUUUCUGUGGGCAUGUUUGGAGGGUUUCCUGCACUGGAUUGGGAUUUCCUGUAAUAUAUUAGUGAAAAUCGUGAUGUUUCUGCAUUUGUGUUCACCCUGUGAAACCGCAGCUCAAGUUGGUUGGUCACUGGACAGUCACACUGCCUUACUUCAUCAGACUCUACAUGUAGCUCAUCUCUAGCCCUGAAUCUCUGCAAUCUGCUGACCCAUCAAAGUGGGAUCACCUAGAGAUAAGCUCAUGCUCUGCUGCUAAAAAGCAAAGGUUAGAACAGCUUUGUAUCAUUUCUAGAUUAAUUAAGGAGUGAUUAUCAAACCAAUUCCACUGUGACUGGAGGUAGAAAUACCUCUUGAAAACCAUUCAAGGGUGGAACUGUAUGCACAUCUGUGGUGGCCUUGUUGCCACGUGUCGAGGAGGGGGGAUGGCUUCAACCACAGAACAAAGGAAAGCCAAAAGAAAAAUGGGAUAUGUGAUUGUGGUGAGUAGAGUUUGGAGUGGAGAAAGGGAGAGUAGGUAUAGAAGAACAAAAGCUGGGUUUGGAGGAAGAGGAGUUGGCUUGCCAUGUAAUUUUUUCUUCCCCAGUGCUCCCCAGCUCUAAUUUAUACAAUAUAAAUAAUUAAAAGCUGUGCAGGCCCAGUGCUAAUCCUUGUGGUAUUCCACAGGCAACUUCCUUCCCACUUAGAAAGGAUUCCAUUGAGAAUUAUCCAAUGGUUCUGGCUCUGCAGCCAACUUUUCCACUCCCUUCCACGAGUCAGUGAGUAGGGCCUGAGCUCUUCCUUCCCUUGGUUCAGCCUUUCCCAAAAUGCAUGGCAGAGAAAUCCCAGUAUGGGAGGCUUAUUUCCUCUAGCCCUGGAGCUAGCUGUAGUCACAGCAGACCUGGAGGGAAG